UCGAGCGAACAGAUGAGGAGCUUGCUCCUCUGACGUUAGCGGCGGACGGGUGAGUAACACGUGGAUAACCUACCUAUAAGACUGGGAUAACUUCGGGAAACCGGAGCUAAUACCGGAUAAUAUAUUGAACCGCAUGGUUCAAUAGUGAAAGACGGUUUUGCUGUCACUUAUAGAUGGAUCCGCGCCGCAUUAGCUAGUUGGUAAGGUAACGGCUUACCAAGGCAACGAUGCGUAGCCGACCUGAGAGGGUGAUCGGCCACACUGGAACUGAGACACGGUCCAGACUCCUACGGGAGGCAGCAGUAGGGAAUCUUCCGCAAUGGGCGAAAGCCUGACGGAGCAACGCCGCGUGAGUGAUGAAGGUCUUCGGAUCGUAAAACUCUGUUAUUAGGGAAGAACAAAUGUGUAAGUAACUAUGCACGUCUUGACGGUACCUAAUCAGAAAGCCACGGCUAACUACGUGCCAGCAGCCGCGGUAAUACGUAGGUGGCAAGCGUUAUCCGGAAUUAUUGGGCGUAAAGCGCGCGUAGGCGGUUUUUUAAGUCUGAUGUGAAAGCCCACGGCUCAACCGUGGAGGGUCAUUGGAAACUGGAAAACUUGAGUGCAGAAGAGGAAAGUGGAAUUCCAUGUGUAGCGGUGAAAUGCGCAGAGAUAUGGAGGAACACCAGUGGCGAAGGCGACUUUCUGGU
RNAcentral lists this ribosomal RNA (689 nucleotides) under uncultured Staphylococcus sp. Its description in RNAcentral is "bacterial SSU rRNA". It matches the Rfam family "Bacterial small subunit ribosomal RNA", at positions 62 to 733 of the family's 1533-position model. The record is from RNAcentral. Lineage: Bacteria; Bacillati; Bacillota; Bacilli; Caryophanales; Staphylococcaceae.